This 1406-nucleotide ribosomal RNA is filed under the name uncultured bacterium. Its description in RNAcentral is "partial 16S ribosomal RNA". It matches the Rfam family "Bacterial small subunit ribosomal RNA". The record is from RNAcentral.
AGAGUUCGAUCCUGGCUCAGGAUGAACGCUGGCGGCGUGCUUAACACAUGCAAGUCGAACGGGAAUUAUUUUAUUGAAACUUCGGUCGAUUUAAUUUAAUUCUAGUGGCGGACGGGUGAGUAACGCAUGGGUAACCUGCCUUAUACAGGGGGAUAACAGUCAGAAAUGACUGCUAAUACCGCAUAAGCGCACGGUACUGCAUGGUACGGUGUGAAAAACUCCGGUGGUAUGAGAUGGACCCGCGUUGGAUUAGCUAGUUGGCGGGGUAACGGCCCACCUAGUCUUCGAUGGAUAGGGGUUCUGAGAGGAAGGUCCCCCACAUUGGAACUGAGACACGGUCCAAACUCCUACGGGAGGCAGCAGUGAGGAAUAUUGGUCAAUGGGCGAGAGCCUGAACCAGCCAAGUAGCGUGAAGGAUGACUGCCCUAUGGGUUGUAAACUUCUUUUAUAAAGGAAUAAAGUCGGGUAUGCAUACCCGUUUGCAUGUACUUUAUGAAUAAGGAUCGGCUAACUCCGUGCCAGCAGCCGCGGUAAUACGGAGGAUCCGAGCGUUAUCCGGAUUUAUUGGGUUUAAAGGGAGCGUAGAUGGAUGUUUAAGUCAGUUGUGAAAGUUUGCGGCUCAACCGUAAAAUUGCAGUUGAUACUGGAUAUCUUGAGUGCAGUUGAGGCAAGCGGAAUUCGUGGUGUAGCGGUGAAAUGCUUAGAUAUCACGAAGAACUCCGAUUGCGAAGGCAGCCUGCUAAGCUGCAACUGACAUUGAGGCUCGAAAGUGUGGGUAUCAAACAGGAUUAGAUACCCUGGUAGUCCACACGGUAAACGAUGAAUACUCGCUGUUUGCGAUAUACAGCAAGCGGCCAAGCGAAAGCGUUAAGUAUUCCACCUGGGGAGUACGCCGGCAACGGUGAAACUCAAAGGAAUUGACGGGGGCCCGCACAAGCGGAGGAACAUGUGGUUUAAUUCGAUGAUACGCGAGGAACCUUACCCGGGCUUAAAUUGCAGAUGAAUUACGGUGAAAGCCGUAAGCCGCAAGGCAUCUGUGAAGGUGCUGCAUGGUUGUCGUCAGCUCGUGCCGUGAGGUGUCGGCUUAAGUGCCAUAACGAGCGCAACCCUUGUUGUCAGUUACUAACAGGUUCCGCUGAGGACUCUGACAAGACUGCCAUCGUAAGAUGUGAGGAAGGUGGGGAUGACGUCAAAUCAGCACGGCCCUUACGUCCGGGGCUACACACGUGUUACAAUGGGGGGUACAGAGGGCCGCUACCACGCGAGUGGAUGCCAAUCCCAAAAACCUCUCUCAGUUCGGACUGGAGUCUGCAACCCGACUCCACGAAGCUGGAUUCGCUAGUAAUCGCGCAUCAGCCACGGCGCGGUGAAUACGUUCCCGGGCCUUGCACUCACCGCCCGUCAAG